Molecule: long non-coding RNA, 254 nt
Filed under: Nicotiana benthamiana
Lineage: Eukaryota; Viridiplantae; Streptophyta; Magnoliopsida; Solanales; Solanaceae
Description: long non-coding RNA (NBEN_LNC009863)
Source: RNAcentral
UUCGAGAGGAAAGGGCAUUGCGAGCUAGUCUUCGGCCGGCUAGAGGUGAGUAAUGGAUGUAAAUGCUACUAUGAGGGUUUGAAACCCUGGACUUUAACAUCGCAACGCUAUAUUGAGGUGUGACACGAAUUCCACGAUGAGUGCGGGGUCGUUUACUAUUGGAGAUCGAGACUUGGUCCAUCCCGAGUGUUAAUUUCUACGAUGUUGGCGAUUGAGACACAUACUUUAUCAUUGUAAAUUGGUCUUAUUACCGC